UACGGAGGGAGCUAGCGUUGUUCGGAAUUACUGGGCGUAAAGCGCACGUAGGCGGCUUUGUAAGUUAGAGGUGAAAGCCUGGAGCUCAACUCCAGAAUUGCCUUUAAGACUGCAUCGCUUGAAUCCAGGAGAGGUGAGUUGGAAUUCCGAGUGUAGAGGUGAAAUUCGUAGAUAUUCGGAAGAACACCAGUGGCGAAGGCGGCUCACUGGACUGGUAUUGACGCUGAGGUGCGAAAGCGUGGGGAGCAAACAGG
RNAcentral lists this ribosomal RNA (254 nucleotides) under uncultured bacterium. Its description in RNAcentral is "partial 16S ribosomal RNA". It matches the Rfam family "Bacterial small subunit ribosomal RNA", at positions 524 to 776 of the family's 1533-position model. The record is from RNAcentral.